Molecule: long non-coding RNA, 729 nt
Filed under: Apteryx haastii (Great spotted kiwi)
Lineage: Eukaryota; Metazoa; Chordata; Aves; Apterygiformes; Apterygidae
Description: lncRNA (ENSAHAG00000018507.1)
Source: RNAcentral
AUGCAUUUGCACACCUGCGUGACUGCUCGUGUGUGUGUUUGCACACCCGCACGGCUGCCCGCGUGUGCAUUUGCACACCUGCACAACAGCCCGUGCACAGCUGUCUGUGUGCAUUUGCACACCCGCACGGCUGCCCGCGUGUGCACGCACGCGCACGGGCGCAUUCGCACGCCCGGCCCCGCUCGCCCCCGCCGCGCUGAGCGUUGYUCACCCCGGCCGCAGACAUCCCCAUCGAUACUGCAAUUAGGUGCAAUUUACGGAGAGAUUGCCUCGAAUUUUCCUGUUAUUGUGCUUCAAAUAGCCGGGAAUUUCUCGCUGAGGGUUGCGGCUCCGUGGGGAGGGCAGAGCCCCUGGACGGGGGGGUGGAGCUGGGCACGGGGCGGCUGGAGAGGCAGCGCUGCAGCGAGCCCGGGCGCAGCGUCGCGGGGCAGCGCGGUCCGAGCCCUCGUGCCUUUGGCUGCGUAUCCCUCCCUCGGCUCCAGCGCCGGCCCUGCCAAGCCUCCGGCACGGGCGGCACGGCCGAAAGCAGAGCAGGAGGGCUGGCACCCCGUGGGGGAUCUGCCGCCCUCGCAGGGCAGGGAGGGGGGCCGUGCUGGAUUUGCUAGGUGCUGUGGGAUCCCGGGAGCCCCCGGAGCUGCUGGAGCCCCCCAGAGCCCCCCGUGGCACCCGGAUCCUCCUGCAGCCCCUGGAUCCCUCCAGAGGCCCUGGAUCCUCCUGCAGCACCUGGAG